UACGAAGGGUGCAAGCGUUGUUCAGAAUCAUUGGGCGUAAAGCGCGCGCAGGCGGAUUAGCAAGUCAGAUGUGAAAUCUCGAAGCUCAACUUCGAAACUGCGUCUGAAACUGCUAGUCUAGAAUGUCGGAGGGGGCAGGGGAAUUUCACGUGUAGGGGUAAAAUCCGUAGAGAUGUGAAGGAACACCGGAGGCGAAGGCGCCUGCCUGGACGACUAUUGACGCUGAGGCGCGAAAGCGUGGGGAGCAAACAGG
This 253-nucleotide ribosomal RNA is filed under the name uncultured bacterium. RNAcentral's name for it is "partial 16S ribosomal RNA". It matches the Rfam family "Bacterial small subunit ribosomal RNA", at positions 524 to 776 of the family's 1533-position model. The record is from RNAcentral.